RNAcentral lists this ribosomal RNA (460 nucleotides) under uncultured bacterium. RNAcentral's name for it is "partial 16S ribosomal RNA". It matches the Rfam family "Bacterial small subunit ribosomal RNA", at positions 338 to 795 of the family's 1533-position model. The record is from RNAcentral.
CCUACGGGAGGCAGCAGUGAGGAAUAUUGGUCAAUGGACGGGAGCCUGAACCAGCCAAGUAGCGUGCAGGAAGACUGCCCUACGGGUUGUAAACUUCUUUUAUAAAAGGAUAAAGUGAGACACGUGUGCCUUUCUGUAUGUACUUUAUGAAUAAGGAUCGGCUAACUCCGUGCCAGCAGCCGCGUUAAUACGGAGGAUCCAAGCGUUAUCCGGAUUUAUUGGGUUUAAAGGGAGCGUAGAUGGGUUGUUAAGUCAGUUGUGAAAGUUUGCGGCUUAACCCGAAAAGUGCCAUUGAUACUGGUAGUCUUGAGUACAGUUGAGGUAGGCGGAAUGUGUGGUGUAGCGGUGAAAUGCUUAGAGAUCACGCAGAACUCCGAUUGCGAAGGCAGCUUACUAAACUGUAACUGACAUUGAUGCUCGAAAGUGUGGGUAUCAAACAGGAUUAGAUACCCUUGUAGUC